Lolium perenne is the source of this 1782-nucleotide long non-coding RNA. RefSeq lists it as uncharacterized. NCBI's taxonomy places the organism in Eukaryota, Viridiplantae, Streptophyta, Magnoliopsida, Poales, Poaceae. The record is from RefSeq and is a predicted model, not a curated record.
CCGAUAGGCACCGCAUCGCCUGGACCCUACUCCCGCCCGCCUUCUUCCCGGUGGAAGCACCGAAUCCCCGCAGUGCCUUGUUCCUGGCUGCAGCACCAUAUCCCCGCCCUACCUUCUUCACCGGCGGAACCAACGCAUCUCCACGCCAUCUGCCUCCCAAAUCGUGGCUCGAUCUCAUCGAUCCGUCCUCCCACCACGCGCUACUUCGGAGAUCCCGCCGUGCGCCGCCGCUGAGAGCCUCUGUGCGCCGCCCUGGAGAUCCCAUGUGCGCGCCGCCCCUGAGAGCCUCUGCGCGCCGCCCUGGAGAUCCCAUGUGCGCGCCGCCCCCGAGAGCCUCUGCGCGCCGCCCUGGAGAUCCCAUGUGCGCGCCGCCCCCGAGAGCCUCUGCGCGCCAACCUCCUCUGCAAAUCAGUCGGCCGCUAGCGCCGUCCUCAACCCCUGCAUCCCGUGCGGCCACGCCUCUGAACCUCCCACACCAUGGCUCCGAACCUGAGGCCCGCUCGACACAGGUUAAUAGUGGAUUCUUAAAGUUUAUAUGAUUCUGACACCAAACAAGAUCAUGGUUCUUACCAAAUGCGCCAUUGAAUAUGGAUGAAGACGAUGCCGAAACCACAGAAAAUUGGCAUGUCUAUGUAACUGGACAUAGUUUAGGUGGAGCUCUAGCAACCCUUCUCACUUUCGAACUUUCAUCUAGUCAAGUGUCCAAGGGAGUUCAAUUCGUCCGAAGGCGAAGUUCAGUAUUUUCUGUAGAACAGUUCGAUUCAUAAUAAGCUAGCUAUUUAUUAAUCAGCUAGUUAUUCAUUUACCGGAACAGAAGUUGCACGGAGUCAAGGUGAUUUCAUCCGGGAAGUUCACAGCGCCCCCAUCGGGAGUCCACCAUGCUCAGAGCUCGCGCGCCGCCCCUGCGUACGCCCGAGUCCUACCCCCUUCCUGGAAGUGCAGGUGCGUAUAAACGGGCAGAACACUGUUCAAAUAUCAGAAUCACACGGUGUUAGACAUAUAUUGUGGAAACAUCGAUACAUAGUGAAGUUUAGAUGAUGAACAUCUGAAGUUCACUUGAUGAACAUCUGGUCAUUCACUAACAAAAUUUUUAAACAUCACACUUGCAGUAUUUGGCUAGCACAAUUUUUAAACCAAACUGUUGCAACGUACAAUUUUUAAAAGACAGUAAACGCUAAUUCUGGAUGAUUUUUUUCAAGUAGAGUGGCAGUUGACAUGUCAUGAUUCCUGACAAAAAAGAAAGUUUGAAAUAUCAGGAAACGGAUGAUGCAUUAGCUAAUUUCCUGUAGCAUUUGUUUGGUAGUUUGUUUGGUAUUCACGGGGAUUUCAUUCUAUAUAGUAAAUUCAGUUUUGAUUGAAAAACAGUUUGAUCACCAGUGAACUUCUAUUUAAUAGACAUGGAGAGAAGUGAGUUCACUUGUGAUUUUUUAGCAGUUUGAUUAGUCCCAGGAAGAGUUCACAUUCCUGUAAAAAAAAUAGAGUAAAAAUACUGGCAGACGCUCAUUUAUUUUUGGCAGUUGAUUCGCUUGAUUUUGGCGGUGUAAUUUCUCACCAGUUUUCAUUUCUUUUACACUGGCAAAACGCUGGCCUCCGUCGCUCCUACUAGCUUUGCCCGGGCUUCGGCAGCUGGCUGGCUCCGCCCAUGGUCAGGAGUUCACUUAAAACACGCCAGGAAUUCAGCUUUAUACGUAGAAGUUCAUUUAAAUUUGGUUCUAGCGAGUAGUUGUGCGCUGCUUCGCUCUGCUGCUGACGCCCUUGAGAUGCUCUUAGCUAUCGUGCCCC